UUAUUGGAGAGUUUGAUCCUGGCUCAGGACGAACGCUGGCGGCGUGCCUAAUACAUGCAAGUCGAGCGA
This 69-nucleotide ribosomal RNA is filed under the name Brevibacillus brevis. RNAcentral's name for it is "partial 16S ribosomal RNA". It matches the Rfam family "Bacterial small subunit ribosomal RNA", at positions 1 to 69 of the family's 1533-position model. Lineage: Bacteria; Bacillati; Bacillota; Bacilli; Caryophanales; Paenibacillaceae. The record is from RNAcentral. RNAcentral also lists the same sequence under 12 other names.